Megalobrama amblycephala (Wuchang bream) is the source of this 3199-nucleotide long non-coding RNA. RefSeq lists it as uncharacterized. The transcript is spliced from 3 exons. The record is from RefSeq and is a predicted model, not a curated record. Lineage: Eukaryota; Metazoa; Chordata; Actinopteri; Cypriniformes; Xenocyprididae.
GGCAAAUUGAUCAGUACAGUUGAUUAUUCUAAUCAGUGUUGUUUUCUGUUCUCUUCACAGCUUGCUGGGUUCAUCUAUGCCUGUUAUGUUGUGAAGCUCAUUUCUGAAGAGGAGGACAGCUUUGACUUUAUAGGAGGGUUUGAUUCAUACGGUUACCAAGGGCCACAGAAGACAUCACAUUUGCAACUACAACCAAUGUACAUGUCAAAGUAAAAGGAUAACUGCCUUAUCAACCAAUCAAAAUGAUGAACUGAUGUUUGAACUUGUCUUUCUACGUAAAUGUCUUAACAUAAUAGUGUCUUACGGACUGUCGGAGGAACACAGAACCGACGCUUUAACCUCAAAGACUCAAGCAAAAGAGUGGAUUUUCUUUGUCUACGCCCAGCCCUUCCUCCUCCAGAGCCCUGCCGGCAGGCGCGAGAGAGCCCUCGUGUGGCCGAACCCCCUCAGCAGACUCUCGUCUCGUUGCAGCCAUUAGCAGUGCAAAUUGGAGGAGCAGAUUGCGUCGAUGUCUGCGGACAGAUCUGCAAUAAGAAAGACUUGGAAUCGUGCAAUGGACCGAAUGGAUAUAGUGUCAGUGUGUCCAACUGACUUUCACGGAAUCCAUCCAUACUUAAAGAAUGUUCAUUAACCAGUCAGUAUAAUAUUAGUUAUCUAGUCCUACAGUCCUUCAAAUGGUGACUGGAGUGGAGAGUCGUUAUUCCGGUUGUUUACAAAGGGUUAUUCCAAGCAUUGGGAUUGCCUUCGGUGUUUAAUUGCAACCCAAGUAGUUUUUCUUCUUUCUCCUGGAUGUACUCGUCUUGAAAGUGCCAAGAACAGUUAAGAAAAAAAACAAAAACGAAUAAAGAAAUCAGUAGCUGCUAAGAGAUUCAUAUUUUUUGGAGUUAAACGACAGUCCUAAAAAAUACCUAUGAGUUUAUCCGUUCGAUGUCACCAUGGGAUUCAGCCGUAUUUGUUUGCAUGAGGUGUCAAAAUCUGUUGCGUAUUUAAUAUCUUUCAGCUAGACAUAGGCCGACCUUGGAAGGGGUAACAGUUGGCCUACAGCGACUGUCCUUGCUCCGAAAGGUUACUUGUGAAUAUUGUUGUUUUUUAAGACGGUGUUGAGUCUUGUUAACAAGAUAACGAUUAGAAAACCAAUUGUAACUUCUUUCUAUUUUAAGCCUUUUUUAACAUGUGUGCCAGUGUUCACUCUUUUCUAGUAGACUAAUAAUUUGUUAUGCCGUGUAAGUGGGCCUUUCUUUUUCGAUAUACCUGUACAUAUUGAGGGGGGAUAGGGAUAGAGAUGCAGUAUUUGUAGUGAUGUGAUGUGCGAGGAGGUGUGUGGAAGAGUCUACUUGGGUUAAAACGUUUUGUUUUGUGUAGUAACAGGUAUAACCCAAGAAUAACAGUUCUCUAAAUCGUUAAUAAGAGUCUCUAAAUCGUUUCUUAACGCAAUUGUUUCCCAACUUUUAAGCGAGAGGUUAGAAUUGCGCAAAAUGCUGAAGCUGUUCAGAUGUUUCCCCUGGAUUUAGCUGUGCUGUAUGGCUUCUUUUGUAACCUGCUUCCUGAAUGAAUAUCAAGAAGAGAGUUUCUUUUUAUGCUGCACUUUCAAUCGCCUAAAAUACUGCGCCUAUUGUAGCCCUUGGAUGAUACGCGAAAGCGUGAAAUGUCUUCAUUUCGGUCAAACUACCAUGCCAAACACAGCUGAAUAACGCAUUUUCCCCUUCCUCAACAGAUAAUGGAUGAUGAAAUAUGUAUUUCUCCACUGUAUAUUAUCUUUUCCUUUAAACUGAUUCUAGUAACUGUGUGGGGUUGACAUAUUUCUGCGGUUUGGUGUAGAGAAAGUGCCUAAAAUGACAUCCUGUUAACAUUCCAAUAAAUGGCAAUCUGCUCUCACCCAGAACGGCUGUACAUAAACCGAGGGUCUGACUGAGCUGUGUUUAAUCAAACCCCUUGUGAACUGCACUGGCAAAGCUAAGUGGCUUUGAUAAUUAAUAAAGAUAUUUUAGCCGCACCACUCUCCAGAACUCACUGGCAAAUAAUUCCCUGCAGUCCUUCGCUGCAGUCUUUGUGCAUCCGACUCAAUGUGGAGUGACGUUUGAAUGGGUAAUGCGAUUCAAUAAGAAUGAUGACACUAGGAAAGGAAACCUGAAUGGGUAUAUCUCACAAUACCUUUCAAAAACAUAUUUAUUUAGGUUAUAUUUCAUCCCCAAAAUCUAAAUACAGAGAAAAUAUAUUUUGCUGUAUAAAAAAAAAAAAGAUUUUAUUUUAUAUUUAUUUUUAUUAACAAGGAAUUAAUUUAUAAUUUAUCAUAAAUUCUAAUAUUUAUUAUAUUACUGUAAUGCAUAAAGAUCUCAUUCUCAUUGCUGUAAUGCAAAAAUUAUUUUAAAAGUUCUAUAUAUUACAGUAAUGAGAAUCUAAUGAGAACCACCACUGACAAUUUCGGGAACUAAAAAAAACAUCCAUCUAUAUGGUAUUGUGGUAAUGAGAAGGAAAUGGAUAUAUUGCAACAUUGUUAGGAUUGGGUUGUUUUGUUUUUCUUUUCAGAUGCCUUUUUCUUCUAGUCAGAGUGCUGGGGUUGGGUCUUGCCUGAGUCUUGCUGUUAUUUGGCCAGUGCUGCUUCGUAAGAUGUCUCCUUAAUGGAAAAAGUUGAAACGAGCGUAAUGCCAAUGGCAGCGAACACCAUGAAGCCACCAAACACCAAAAUUCCCAGAGUUUGAAGGUCGUACUCAUCCAUCUUUGCUCAGUCCUGUCCCUCUUAAUCCUGAUCCCGCGUUCAAACUCACAGUGAUAAUCGCCACUGACUUUGAGUUUUGCGAGAGGUCCAGGGUUUAGAUCCCGGACGAGCCCCCAUAUGUCACACCUGGCUCAAUGGUGCGGCAUUAAGGGAAGGCGACACAGCGGAGUAAACUCAAAUAAAAGAAUUUAUUACAUCUAAAUUAACACAACAAAAUAAUCAAAACAUCAGUCAUCAGUAAUAUCAGUCUGAAAUGCAAGUGAUUGGAUGUAAAACUAUGGAAUGUUGUCAGGACAAGUGCAUGGCUGCGAAACAAAAAUAACUUUCUCAAAACUGAAGCGUAGAUCUGGCAGACAUUGUUGGGGAAAGUUACUUUUAAAAGUAAUGCAUUACAAUAUUGCGUUAUUCCCUAAAAAAGUAACUAAUUGUGUUAGUUACUUUUUAUGAAAAGUAAUGUGCUACAUUACUUUUGCAUUACUUUUU